Molecule: ribosomal RNA, 84 nt
Filed under: Delftia sp. UME58
Lineage: Bacteria; Pseudomonadati; Pseudomonadota; Betaproteobacteria; Burkholderiales; Comamonadaceae
Description: partial 16S ribosomal RNA
Rfam family: Bacterial small subunit ribosomal RNA
Source: RNAcentral
AGAUCGAACUGUAGAGUUUGAUCCUGGCUCAGAUUGAACGCUGGCGGCAUGCCUUACACAUGCAAGUCGAACGGUAACAGGUCU